CUUUUCUUUUAAGUACGUCUUUAUUUUUUGGAUGGACCAUAGGGAUAGGUCCUGCGCAAUGGAGUCCUGUGAACCUUGUCAGGUCCGGAAGGAAGCAGCAAUAAGCAGAUCGCUUCGUGUGCCGCAGGAGUGCCUGUUCCUGUGGCCCAUCGAGAAAAUAAGGACAGGAAAG
Molecule: signal recognition particle RNA, 172 nt
Filed under: Acidaminococcus intestini
Lineage: Bacteria; Bacillati; Bacillota; Negativicutes; Acidaminococcales; Acidaminococcaceae
Also listed under: 1 other name
Description: signal recognition particle sRNA large type
Rfam family: Bacterial small signal recognition particle RNA (bases 43-142)
About the family: The signal recognition particle (SRP) is a universally conserved ribonucleoprotein involved in the co-translational targeting of proteins to membranes.
Source: RNAcentral